Molecule: ribosomal RNA, 440 nt
Filed under: uncultured bacterium
Lineage: Bacteria
Description: partial 16S ribosomal RNA
Rfam family: Bacterial small subunit ribosomal RNA
Source: RNAcentral
CCUACGGGUGGCUGCAGUGGGGGAUAUUGCACAAUGGGGGAAACCCUGAUGCAGCGACGCCGCGUGGGUGAAGAAGCGCCUCGGCGCGUAAAGCCCUGUCAGCAGGGAAGAAAAUGACGGUACCUGAAGAAGAAGCCCCGGAUAACUACGUGCCAGCCGCCCCGGUAAUACGUAGGGGGCAAGCGGUAUCCGGAUUUACUGGGUGUAAAGGGGGCGAAGACGGCGAUGAAAGCCAGGAGUGAGAGCCAGGGGCCCAAACCCGGGACUGCUCUGGGAACUGCGUGGCUAGAGUGCAGGAGGGGCAGGCGGAAUUCCUGGUGUAGCGGUGAAAUGCGUAGAUAUCAGGAGGAACACCGGUGGCGAAGGCGGCCUGCUGGACUGCAACUGACGUUGAGGCCCGAAAGCGUGGGGAGCAAACAGGAUUAGAUACCCCUGUAGUC